CACCAUGACUUAUGAUGUGGUGG
This 23-nucleotide non-coding RNA is filed under the name Arabidopsis thaliana (thale cress). Lineage: Eukaryota; Viridiplantae; Streptophyta; Magnoliopsida; Brassicales; Brassicaceae. The record is from RNAcentral.